RNAcentral lists this ribosomal RNA (459 nucleotides) under uncultured soil bacterium. Its description in RNAcentral is "bacterial SSU rRNA". It matches the Rfam family "Bacterial small subunit ribosomal RNA", at positions 26 to 533 of the family's 1533-position model. The record is from RNAcentral.
AGAACGAACGCUGGCGGCAUGCCUAAUACAUGCAAGUCGAACGAACACUUCGGUGUUAGUGGCGCACGGGUGCGUAACGCGUGGGAAUCUGCCCUUGGGUUCGGAAUAACAGUUGGAAACGACUGCUAAUACCGGAUGAUAUCGAAAGAUCAAAGAUUUAUCGGCCCAGGGAUGAGCCCGCGUAGGAUUAGCUAGUUGGUGAGGUAAAGGCUCACCAAGGCGACGAUCCUUAGCUGGUCUGAGAGGAUGAUCAGCCACACUGGGACUGAGACACGGCCCAGACUCCUACGGGAGCAGCAGUAGGGAAUAUUGGACAAUGGGCGCAAGCCUGAUCCAGCAAUGACCGCGUGAGUGAUGAAGGCCUUAGGGUUGUAAAGCUUACGUUUUACCCGGAAGUAUAAUGACUGUACCGGAGAAUAAGCUACCGGACUAACGUCCGUGUCCAGCACGCCGACGGUU